AUAAGGUGAGUCGGGGCAAGCGCGCCUACGGGGUAAGAGCGCCCCCCCCUAUUAUCUCAAAAACUACUGAUGUGGGACUCUUAACGACAUCUUACAUCCAUGGAACAAAUCAAAUGAAGUUCCGGGUUUAAAUCACAGAUGGCUCUGCUUGCUCUAAUUUGAGAUAAUGGACAUUCUAUUUUUAGUGUCAUUUUAACAUCAAUUACGAGAUGAGCACGUGUUACAAAUCCAUUAAAAUCUCAGAAAAUCAUCAGUGUUUGGGGAAACUAAUAAGAUGGUUCGUAAUUACGUUAGAAAAACUGAGGGUCCUUCUUGGUCCAAGGAAACCUUAUUUGAAGCAAUUGAAGCGGUUCAAUCAGGUAGAUUAUCUGGGUAUGAAGCUGCCAAAACAUACGAUAUACCCCGUAAAACAAUAAUGGAUCAUGUAAAUGGUCGAAGAGGCCAAAAGUCACUCACACAAGGUAGACCCACUGCGUUGUCAUCGGAAACGGAGCAAAAAUUAGCUGAUUGUGUACAUGUGAUGGAAAAGCUUGGGUUUGGCUUAAGUCGGACAGAAGUUUUAGAGCUUGUUGGUGAAUAUGUUAACAAAAAUAACAUAGAUACACCAUUUACUAAUGGCAUACCUGGCAGUGAUUGGUUUUCCAAUUUUAUGACUCGACACGGAUUGUCAAUUAAAAAGCCUCAAGCUGUUGAAAAUGUUCGUAAAACAGCGGCUGA
Plutella xylostella (diamondback moth) is the source of this 717-nucleotide long non-coding RNA. RefSeq lists it as uncharacterized. The record is from RefSeq and is a predicted model, not a curated record. NCBI's taxonomy places the organism in Eukaryota, Metazoa, Arthropoda, Insecta, Lepidoptera, Plutellidae.